UCUAUACUGUGAAACUGCGAAUGGCUCAUUAAAUCAGUUAUCGUUUAUUUGAUAGUACCUUACUACUUGGAUAACCGUGGUAAUUCUAGAGCUAAUACAUGCUAAAAACCUCGACUUCGGAAGGGGUGUAUUUAUUAGAUAAAAAACCAAUGCCCUUCGGGGCUCCUUGGUGAUUCAUGAUAACUUAACGAAUCGCAUGGCCUUGCGCCGGCGAUGGUUCAUUCAAAUUUCUGCCCUAUCAACUUUCGAUGGUAGGAUAGUGGCCUACCAUGGUAUCAACGGGUAACGGGGAAUUAGGGUUCUAUUCCGGAGAGGGAGCCUGAGAAACGGCUACCACAUCCAAGGAAGGCAGCAGGCGCGCAAAUUACCCAAUCCCGACACGGGGAGGUAGUGACAAUAAAUACUGAUACAGGGCUCUUUUGGGUCUUGUAAUUGGAAUGAGUACAAUUUAAAUACCUUAACGAGGAACAAUUGGAGGGCAAGUCUGGUGCCAGCAGCCGCGGUAAUUCCAGCUCCAAUAGCGUAUAUUAAAGUUGUUGCAGUUAAAAAGCUCGUAGUUGAACCUUGGGCCUGGCUGGCCGGUCCGCCUCACCGCGUGUACUGGUCCGGCCGGGCCUUUCCUUCUGGGGAUCCGCAUGCCCUUCACUGGGUGUGUCGGGGAACCAGGACUUUUACUUUGAAAAAAUUAGAGUGUUCAAAGCAGGCCUUUGCUCGAAUACAUUAGCAUGGAAUAAUAGAAUAGGACGUGCGGUCCUAUUUUGUUGGUUUCUAGGACCGCCGUAAUGAUUAAUAGGGAUAGUCGGGGGCAUCAGUAUUCAAUUGUCAGAGGUGAAAUUCUUGGAUUUAUUGAAGACUAACUACUGCGAAAGCAUUUGCCAAGGAUGUUUUCAUUAAUCAGUGAACGAAAGUUAGGGGAUCGAAGACGAUCAGAUACCGUCGUAGUCUUAACCGUAAACUAUGCCGACUAGGGAUCGGGCGAUGUUAUUCUUUUGACUCGCUCGGCACCUUACGAGAAAUCAAAGUC
This 1024-nucleotide ribosomal RNA is filed under the name Cophinforma atrovirens. RNAcentral's name for it is "SSU rRNA". It matches the Rfam family "Eukaryotic small subunit ribosomal RNA", at positions 73 to 1105 of the family's 1831-position model. The record is from RNAcentral. Lineage: Eukaryota; Fungi; Ascomycota; Dothideomycetes; Botryosphaeriales; Botryosphaeriaceae.